This 21-nucleotide non-coding RNA is filed under the name Caenorhabditis elegans. Lineage: Eukaryota; Metazoa; Nematoda; Chromadorea; Rhabditida; Rhabditidae. The record is from RNAcentral.
UGGAAACACAACUUUCAGAGC